Molecule: long non-coding RNA, 501 nt
Filed under: Homo sapiens (human)
Lineage: Eukaryota; Metazoa; Chordata; Mammalia; Primates; Hominidae
Description: novel transcript
Source: RNAcentral
GAAAAGGGGGCAAAGGGAAUAAGAGGGAAGAGGGGUAAUGCUGGCUUUCCUGGAUUUGUUGGAACUUCGGGUGACCAAGGCCCACCAGGACAAAUGCCUUGCAAAAUUGUUGAUUUCACACGUGAAAACUGCCAAAUAAAGUGGAUUGACAGCAUGCCAUCUCAACGAUGAAGAGAAGCUCCACUGAGCAAUACUGUGCCCCAGGAGAUGUCAUAACUGCACACCUGUGUGCCUACAUCUUGCUGCUUCUUAUCACAAAACAAAGGAGUUUGUUCAAGAGGUAUUUCCAAAUGCCCAGCAUUCCCAACUGAAGUGGCCUUUGCCUUGGACAUGUCAAAUGAUGUCUCCCUGUUGGAUUUUGAGAGGAUGAGAGACAUUUUAUUGUCUCUGUUGAUGAAGAUGGAAAUAAGUGACAGUAACUGCCCAACAGGUGCCCAUGUGGCCAUUGUUUCCUACAAUGCCAAAACCAAUUACUUGGUUCGUUUCUCAGACUACAAGGGG